RNAcentral lists this transfer RNA (85 nucleotides) under Pseudomonas putida. RNAcentral's name for it is "tRNA-Leu". It matches the Rfam family "tRNA". Rfam says of the family: Transfer RNA (tRNA) molecules are approximately 80 nucleotides in length. Their secondary structure includes four short double-helical elements and three loops (D, anti-codon, and T loops). Further hydrogen bonds mediate the characteristic L-shaped molecular structure. tRNAs have two regions of fundamental functional importance: the anti-codon, which is responsible for specific mRNA codon recognition, and the 3' end, to which the tRNAs corresponding amino acid is attached (by aminoacyl-tRNA synthetases). tRNAs cope with the degeneracy of the genetic code in two manners: having more than one tRNA (with a specific anti-codon) for a particular amino acid; and 'wobble' base-pairing, i.e. permitting non-standard base-pairing at the 3rd anti-codon position. Lineage: Bacteria; Pseudomonadati; Pseudomonadota; Gammaproteobacteria; Pseudomonadales; Pseudomonadaceae. The record is from RNAcentral.
GCGCCUGUGGUGAAAUUGGUAGACACACUGGAUUUAGGUUCCAGCGACGAAAGUUGUAAGGGUUCGAGUCCCUUUGGGCGCACCA